This 2614-nucleotide long non-coding RNA is filed under the name Malus domestica (apple). The record is from RNAcentral. Lineage: Eukaryota; Viridiplantae; Streptophyta; Magnoliopsida; Rosales; Rosaceae.
GUCACAGCCCGUCCUGGAAUUUUAAUUCCGAGGACGUGAAAAGACGAAAAUGCCCUUAAACGGGAUUAAGGUGCGUAAUUUUGGUAUUGGUUUUACCUAAAAUUCCUAAGUUAUUGUUAAUUAAACUUAAACUUGGACUAAUAAUUUUGUGUUUGGACUUUAGGUAGGGUCCUACACCCUAAAUCCCUCCCCAUUUCCCGUUUGUUGUCUCUCUCUCAUCUCCUCAGUCACUCUCUCUCUCUUCCUUAGCUCUUCCUCAGAAACUCUCACUCUCUCUCUUCUUCUCGAACGCACGGGCAACCACCAAAACCACCUAAAACCUAUACCAACGUCCAAGUUAAGACCACAUUUGGACUCCUGGAACUUCCACGAUCACGUAGACAUCAAUUUCAGGUAAGUUCUACUUCGGAAAACCCUAGUUUUCAAAGUACCCGUGAAAUGGCACUGUUCAUAAACUCUUAAAUGGUGGUGUUUUAGCUUAAAACAAGAUCACAGUGAGCUUUAGGAUGUCCCAAGGAAGCUCGGAACUGACACACCCCGUCCCGAAGGAGGGCAUGCUGGCCGUCACGUGAGAGUGACGUAACCAUUUGCACAGUACGGAAGCUUUAAGAUACAAUUUAAAUUGAUACACCCGAAGGUGAGUCCUAAUUUUGUCCAAUCUGUCAGAACACCGUCGAAUUAUUGUAACAUCCCACAUCGCCCAGGGAGUGAUCCUUAAAUGUAUAUUCCCAUCUCUACCUAGCACGAGGCCUUUUGGGAGCUCACUGGCUUCGGGUUCCGUAGGAACUCCGAAGUUAAGCGAGAAGGAGGCCAGAGCACUCCCAGGAUGGGUGACCCACUGGGAAGUUGCUCGUGAGUUCCCAGAAACAAAACCGUGAGGGCGUAGUUGGGGCCCAAAGCGGACAAUAUCGUGCUACGGUGGUGGAGCGUGCCCGGGAAGUGGUCCGCCCCGGGCCGGGAUGUGACAAUUGGUAUCAGAGCCAAUCCCUGGCCGGAAGUGUGCCGACGAGGACGUCGGGCCCCUAAGGGGGGUGGAUUGUAACAUCCCACAUCGCCCAGGGAGUGAUCCUUAAAUGUAUAUUCCCAUCUCUACCUAGCACGAGGCCUUUUGGGAGCUCACUGGCUUCGGGUUCCGUAGGAACUCCGAAGUUAAGCGAGAAGGAGGCCAGAGCACUCCCAGGAUGGGUGACCCACUGGGAAGUUGCUCGUGAGUUCCCAGAAACAAAACCGUGAGGGCGUAGUUGGGGCCCAAAGCGGACAAUAUCGUGCUACGGUGGUGGAGCGUGCCCGGGAAGUGGUCCGCCCCGGGACUGACACACCCCGUCCCGAAGGAGGGCAUGCUGGCCGUCACGUGAGAGUGACGUAACCAUUUGCACAGUACGGAAGCUUUAAGAUACAAUUUAAAUUGAUACACCCGAAGGUGAGUCCUAAUUUUGUCUAAUCUGUCAGAACACCGUCGAAUUCCUCGUAGUCACCACACCUUUGUGAUUCCUGAACCUGGAGGGGCGCAAAACCAAAAUUGAGUGGGUCAGUAAAACAAUUCUUUUCCAAAUCCAAACAUUUCUCAAAACGUUGUAACCCCUCUCCGUAAAACCUGUAUACUUUCCCAGAAAUGUAAAAUAUAAAUAUACAUAUAUAUUCUCAAAACUUCAUUUUUACUAUCUCAACAUUAUCUCGUUAUCAAUCAUGCCAUGCCAUGUCAUCUCAACAUUUCUCAUAUUAAUUAUGCCAUGCCACAUCUCAUCUCAACAGUAAUAAGGUAUGAAUGCAUCAACAUAAUCAUAUCAGGUGCAAGAAAGUAAUCAACCGUAGGCCCUCUAAUAGCCCUGUACGGUUGAACCUAGAGCUCAAAAUCUAUCAUUAUCACUCUACCCGGAGUCACCUCUGUGACCCGUCCGGCCUUCUGCACACAAGUUACGCUCUAGUGCUUCUCAUAAAUCAUCUGUGCACAUAAUCUAAGGUCACCCACCAGUCGGAAUCUCACUAACACUCUCGCGACUGGUCUGUCGUACCCACUCCGCGUGGACUGUACGACUAGCAUCUACUUGGAUCCAAGGCGAGCGUGCGAUGCGGUGAAUACUAUAAGCACUAAAACCAUGGUGCAGGAUUUGAGCUCAAUAUAUAUAUCAACAUCAUCAUAACAGUAUUUAAAUAAUCACCUGAUACUCACCUGUGCGUCCACCGCACCAUUUCAUACAUAUGCAUCAUAAAUCAAUUCUUACAUGUGCGUCCACCGCACCAAUUCAUACAUAUGCAUCAUAAAUCAAUUCUUACUUGUGCGUCCACCGCACCAAUUCAUACAUAUGCAUCAUAUAUUAAUUCAUCAUGCAUGGCAUUUCAACUCACAUUUCUAUAUACUUUUCAUAUCAAUUCUAUGCAUGGUAUUUCACUUCCCGUUUUUCCACAUAACUCAUAUGCAUUUCAUUUUAAACAUAUUUUCAUUUCAAUUCAAUUUCUGGGAAACGUCAAGUAUAUAUAUAUACGGAAAACAAAACUGCCCACUCACCUGGAGUUCGCCCUACAACUCCCUAGCACCACACAUCAAGGCGUCAUGACGAUCGGCGCCUAAAACAAUAUUUAAUUCCAACCUCAGAAUUCAUAUCGAUAGAAUAUA